CGCACCGUGACGGGAGAGUUCGGAUAUCGCGCGAUUUGCAUGAUAUCCGGCGCCGAAGGAGCAAUGCCUCAUAAACACUCUCAGGCAGAUGGACCGUCACGGAUAG
RNAcentral lists this non-coding RNA (106 nucleotides) under Thalassospira sp. HJ. RNAcentral describes it as "Glycine riboswitch aptamer". It matches the Rfam family "Glycine riboswitch aptamer". Rfam says of the family: This family represents the bacterial glycine riboswitch. Glycine riboswitches usually consist of two metabolite-binding aptamers domains with similar structures in tandem. The aptamers cooperatively bind glycine to regulate the expression of downstream genes. The record is from Rfam by way of RNAcentral. Lineage: Bacteria; Pseudomonadati; Pseudomonadota; Alphaproteobacteria; Rhodospirillales; Thalassospiraceae. RNAcentral also lists the same sequence under 1 other name.